UACGUAGGGGGCAAGCGUUUGUUCGGAAUUACUGGGCGUAAAGAGUGUGUAGGCGGUGUUCCCAGUCUGUUGUGAAAUCUCCCGGCUUAACUGGGAGGGUGCAGCGGAAACUAGAAUGCUAGAGGGUGGGAGAGGUAAGCGGAAUUCCUGGUGUAGCGGUGAAAUGCGUAGAUAUCGGGAGGAACAUCAGUGGCGAAGGCGGCUGCCUGGCCCAAUACUGACACUCAGGUGCGACAGCGGUGGGGAGCAAACAGG
RNAcentral lists this ribosomal RNA (255 nucleotides) under uncultured bacterium. RNAcentral's name for it is "partial 16S ribosomal RNA". It matches the Rfam family "Bacterial small subunit ribosomal RNA", at positions 524 to 776 of the family's 1533-position model. The record is from RNAcentral.